GACGAACGCUGACGGCGUGCUUAACACAUGCAAGUCGAACGGAAAGGCCCUGCUUUUGUGGGGUGCUCGAGUGGCGAACGGGUGAGUAACACGUGAGUAACCUGCCCUUGACUUUGGGAUAACUUCAGGAAACUGGGGCUAAUACCGGAUAGGAGCUCCUGCUGCAUGGUGGGGGUUGGAAAGUUUCGGCGGUUGGGGAUGGACUCGCGGCUUAUCAGCUUGUUGGUGGGGUAGUGGCUUACCAAGGCUUUGACGGGUAGCCGGCCUGAGAGGGUGACCGGCCACAUUGGGACUGAGAUACGGCCCAGACUCCUACGGGAGGCAGCAGUGGGGAAUAUUGCACAAUGGGCGGAAGCCUGAUGCAGCAACGCCGCGUGCGGGAUGACGGCCUUCGGGUUGUAAACCGCUUUCGCCUGUGACGAAGCGUGAGCGACGGUAAUGGGUAAAGAAGCACCGGCUAACUACGUG
This 468-nucleotide ribosomal RNA is filed under the name uncultured bacterium. Its description in RNAcentral is "partial 16S ribosomal RNA". It matches the Rfam family "Bacterial small subunit ribosomal RNA", at positions 28 to 507 of the family's 1533-position model. The record is from RNAcentral.